CAUUGAAGCAUUGGUUCUCAUACGAUUACCAAAUUUAAGCAAUACCGAGCCUGGUUAGUACCUAGAUGAGUGACCGUUUGUGAAUACCAGGUACUGUAAG
Molecule: non-coding RNA, 100 nt
Organism: Acanthosepion pharaonis
Lineage: Eukaryota; Metazoa; Mollusca; Cephalopoda; Sepiida; Sepiidae
Source: the annotation of a GenBank genome assembly